CGAACGCUGGCGGCGUGCUUAACACAUGCAAGUCGAACGGAAAGGCCCCUUUGGGGGUACUCGAGUGGCGAACGGGUGAGUAACACGUGAGUAACCUGCCCUUGACUUCGGGAUAACUUCAGGAAACUGGGGCUAAUACCGGAUAGGAAUCCUUGCUGCAUGGUGGGGGUUGGAAAGCUUCGGCGGUUUUGGAUGGACUCGCGGCUUAUCAGCUUGUUGGUGGGGUAGUGGCUUACCAAGGCUUUGACGGGUAGCCGGCCUGAGAGGGCGACCGGCCACAUUGGGACUGAGAUACGGCCCAGACUCCUACGGGAGGGAGCAGUGGGGAAUAUUGAACAAUGGGCGGAAGCCUGAUGCAGCAACGCCGCGUGCGGGAUGACGGCCUUCGGGUUGUAAACCGCUUUCAGCAGGGGCGAAGCUUGUGGUGACGGUACCUGCAGAAGAAGCACCGGCUAACUACGUG
Molecule: ribosomal RNA, 463 nt
Filed under: uncultured bacterium
Lineage: Bacteria
Description: partial 16S ribosomal RNA
Rfam family: Bacterial small subunit ribosomal RNA
Source: RNAcentral